UACGGGGGGGGCAAGCGUUGUUCGGAAUUACUGGGCGUAAAGGGCUCGUAGGUGGCCAACUAAGUCAGACGUGAAAUCCCCAGGCUCAACUUGGGAACUGCGUCUGAUACUGGAUGGCUUGAAUUCGGGAGAGGGAUGCAGAAUUCCAGGUGUAGCGGUGAAAUGCGUAGAUAUCUGGAGGAACACCGGUGGCGAAGGCGGCAUCCUGGACCGGUAUUGACGCUGAUGCGCGAAAGCCAGGGGAGCAAACGGG
RNAcentral lists this ribosomal RNA (253 nucleotides) under uncultured bacterium. RNAcentral describes it as "partial 16S ribosomal RNA". It matches the Rfam family "Bacterial small subunit ribosomal RNA", at positions 524 to 776 of the family's 1533-position model. The record is from RNAcentral.